RNAcentral lists this ribosomal RNA (446 nucleotides) under uncultured bacterium. RNAcentral's name for it is "partial 16S ribosomal RNA". It matches the Rfam family "Bacterial small subunit ribosomal RNA", at positions 338 to 795 of the family's 1533-position model. The record is from RNAcentral.
CCUACGGGAGGCAGCAGUAGGGAAUUUUCGGCAAUGGGGGGAACCCUGACCGAGCAACGCCGCGUGAACGAAGAAGUUAUUCGUAAUGUAAAGUUCCGUUAACAGGGAAGAAAGAGAAAUUUGACAGUACCUGACGAAUAAGCUCUGGCUAACUACGUGCCAGCGGCCGCCGUCAUACGUAGGGAGCGAGCGUUAUCCGGAUUUAUUGGGUUUAAAGGGUGCGUAGGCGGAAUAUCAAGUCAGCGGUAAAAAUUCGGGGCUCAACCCCGUCGUGCCGUUGAAACUGAAGAUCUUGAGUGGGCGAGAAGUAUGCGGAAUGCGAGGUGUAGCGGUGAAAUGCAUAGAGAUAACGCAGAACUCCGAUUGCGAAGGCAGCAUACCGGCGCCCAACUGACGCUGAAGCACGAAAGCGUGGGUAUCGAACAGGAUUAGAUACCCUGGUAGUC